Long non-coding RNA from Crotalus tigris (Tiger rattlesnake), 635 nucleotides. RefSeq lists it as uncharacterized. NCBI's taxonomy places the organism in Eukaryota, Metazoa, Chordata, Lepidosauria, Squamata, Viperidae. The record is from RefSeq and is a predicted model, not a curated record. The transcript has 5 exons.
UGCAAUGACUGAGCACUGAUUACUACAGUUGGCGACCCGAACAGGGACCUUUGGGAACCCCCUCCGGGGAAGAGCGACAACCAACAUACUUACCAUCGUCUGGAAUAGACCUCUAAAUGCACUUUCAUCCUACGGGACCCCUCAGUGGAUUUACCCAAGCCAACAGGAAAAGAUGUCCGGAUGGUGGUGUGUGCCGAUCUUACAAAGAAUGUUAUAGGGAAGAGACAUAUUGGGGACGUUGCCCUUGGAACCGUAAGAAGAUCUAUUGUUGCUUCUGAAUAAGAUUUGGUCCAGAACCAAUUCCAACAUGAAGAUCUUUUGCCUGCUCUUCGCAUUCCUUUUCCUUGCAUUCCUGUCUGAACCAGGGACUGCUAGUCCUCUGUGUGAGAAAACAAAAGGAAAAUGCAUUGGCCCUCCCUGUCCCAUAGGGGCAUUCUCUGUGGGACAUCAAGAUUGUGGUCCUCAGUUGUGCUGUGUUAUUCCAUAAAAUGUUGCCAUUUCCAUCUGGAUAUCUUCAACCUCUGCCCAAUGACCUGACACGACUGCCUGCUGUCGCUUCAUUUUCUUUUAUAUAAAUCCAAAUUGCUAUUGCUAUCUAUCAGUUUCUAGAAAAGUUAUGCAUUGAACUAAAAUUU